GUGCCAGCCGCCGCGGUAAUACGUAGAGUGCAAGCGUUGUCCGGAAUUAUUGGGCGUAAAGGGUACGCAGGCGGCCCUGCAAGUCAAAUGUGAAAGGUCACAGCUUAACUGUGAGAAUGCGUUUGAAACUGUAGGGCUUGAGUACAACAGAGGAGAGCGGAAUUCCUGGUGUAGUGGUGAAAUACGUAGAGAUCAGGAAGAACACCAGUGGCGAAGGCGGCUCUCUGGGUUGAUACUGACGCUCAGGUACGAAAGCUAGGGGAGCGAACGGGAUUAGAAACCCCAGUAGUC
RNAcentral lists this ribosomal RNA (291 nucleotides) under uncultured prokaryote. Its description in RNAcentral is "partial 16S ribosomal RNA". It matches the Rfam family "Bacterial small subunit ribosomal RNA", at positions 505 to 795 of the family's 1533-position model. The record is from RNAcentral.